GAUGAACGCUGGCGGCGUGCCUAAUACAUGCAAGUCGAACGGGGAGUCGCAAUACUCUUAGUGGCGAACGGGUGAGUAACGCGUUGGUACCUGCCCCGAAGCGGGGGAUAACGGACCGAAAGGUCCGCUAAUACCCCAUGUGCUCGGUAACGAGUAAAGGUGAAAACCACUUUGGGAGGGGCCUGCGUCCCAUCAGCUAGUUGGUAAGGUAACGGCUUACCAAGGCGAUGACGGGUAGGGGACCUGACAGGGUGGCCCCCCACAAUGGAACUGAAACACGGUCCAUACACCUACGGGUGGCAGCAGUAGGGAAUAUUGGUAAUGGGCGCAAGCCUGAACCAGCAACGCCGCGUGUGCGAUGACGGCCUUCGGGUUGUAAAGCACUUUUGACUGGGACGAGGAAGGACGGUACCGGUCGAAUCAGCCUCGGCUAACUACGUG
RNAcentral lists this ribosomal RNA (441 nucleotides) under uncultured bacterium. Its description in RNAcentral is "partial 16S ribosomal RNA". It matches the Rfam family "Bacterial small subunit ribosomal RNA", at positions 28 to 507 of the family's 1533-position model. The record is from RNAcentral.